RNAcentral lists this transfer RNA (361 nucleotides) under uncultured Microcystis sp. RNAcentral describes it as "partial 16S-23S ribosomal RNA intergenic spacer". The stretch from base 136 to 209 matches the Rfam family "tRNA". Lineage: Bacteria; Bacillati; Cyanobacteriota; Cyanophyceae; Chroococcales; Microcystaceae. The record is from RNAcentral.
AAAGGGAGACCUAAUUCAGGUAGGAGACGAAAAAAAAGUAGUCGCUACCAAGAAUCAAUCCCAAAAGGUCGGAGCGAGGCGAAAUUGGCUUUCAAACUAGGUUCUGGGUUCAAACAAGACCUGAAUCAGGAACAAGGGCUAUUAGCUCAGGUGGUUAGAGCGCACCCCUGGUAAGGGUGAGGUCCCUGGUUCGAGUCCAGGAUGGCCCACCUGCACAGGUGGCAAAAACAAGAGAAGCGAGGAAUCAGCACCUUAUCUUACUUAUAUAGUAAGAGAGAAUGCUGGCUCUGAGUAAAGAGUCCAGAGGAACCUUGAAAACUGCAUAGAGCUAGGUGAAAAAGCCAAAAAAGAAGACCGCAAG